CACGUAGGGCGCAAGCGUUGUCCGGAAUUAUUGGGCGUAAAGAGCUCGUAGGCGGUCUGUUACGUCUGCUGUGAAAACCCCGGGGCUCAACCCCGGGCCUGCAGUCGAUACGGGCAGACUAGAGUGUGGUAGGGGAGACUGGAAUUCCUGGUGUAGCGGUGAAAUGCGCAGAUAUCAGGAGGAACACCGGUGGCGAAGGCGGGUCUCUGGGCCAUAAACUGACGUGGAGGAGCGAAAGCGUGGGGAGCAAACAGG
RNAcentral lists this ribosomal RNA (255 nucleotides) under uncultured bacterium. RNAcentral describes it as "partial 16S ribosomal RNA". It matches the Rfam family "Bacterial small subunit ribosomal RNA", at positions 524 to 776 of the family's 1533-position model. The record is from RNAcentral.